GAUGAACGCUAGCUACAGGCUUAACACAUGCAAGUCGAGGGGCAGCAUUACGGUAGCUUGCUACUGUAGAUGGCGACCGGCGCACGGGUGAGUAACGCGUAUCCAACCUGCCCAUCACUUGGGAAUAACCUUGCGAAAGUAAGACUAAUGCCCAAUGACAUUUAUAGAAGGCAUCUGAAAUGAAUUAAAGAUUUAUCGGUGAUGGAUGGGGAUGCGUCUGAUUAGCUUGUUGGCGGGGUAACGGCCCACCAAGGCGACGAUCAGUAGGGGGUUCUGAGAGGAAGGUCCCCCCACAUUGGGAACUGAGACACGGUCCCAAACUCCUACGGGAGGCAGCAGUGAGGAAUAUUGGUCAAUGGGCGAGAGCCUGAACCAGCCAAGUAGCGUGCAGGAAGACGGCCCUAUGGGUUGUAAACUGCUUUUAUAGGGGAAUAAAGUGAGCCACGUGUGGUUUUUUGCAUGUACCCUAUGAAUAAGGACCGGCUAAUUCCGUGCCAGCAG
RNAcentral lists this ribosomal RNA (501 nucleotides) under uncultured bacterium. Its description in RNAcentral is "bacterial SSU rRNA". It matches the Rfam family "Bacterial small subunit ribosomal RNA", at positions 28 to 514 of the family's 1533-position model. The record is from RNAcentral.